AUUGAACGCUGGCGGAAUGCUUUACACAUGCAAGUCGAACGGUAGAGGGGGCAACCCCUCGAGAGUGGCGAACGGGUGAGUAAUAUAUCGGAACGUGCCCAGUCGUGGGGGAUAACGUAGCGAAAGUUACGCUAAUACCGCAUACGAUCUAAGGAUGAAAGCGGGGGAUCGCAAGACCUCGCGCGAUUGGAGCGGCCGAUAUCAGAUUAGGUAGUUGGUGGGGUAAAGGCUCACCAAGCCAACGAUCUGUAGCUGGUCUGAGAGGACGACCAGCCACACUGGAACUGAGACACGGUCCAGACUCCUACGGGAGGCAGCAGUGGGGAAUUUUGGACAAUGGACGCAAGUCUGAUCCAGCCAUUCCGCGUGUAGGAUGAAGGCCCUCGGGUUGUAAACUGCUUUUGUACGGAACGAAAAGGUCUCUCUUAAUACGGGGGGCUCAUGACGGUACCGUAAGAAUAAGCACCGGCUAGCUACGUGCCAGCCGCCGCGGUAA
Molecule: ribosomal RNA, 496 nt
Filed under: uncultured bacterium
Lineage: Bacteria
Description: partial 16S ribosomal RNA
Rfam family: Bacterial small subunit ribosomal RNA
Source: RNAcentral